AUAGAUAGUAGAGGAAGGGGAUUGGAAACGGGAUCACGUGAGCUUAUGCUUGCAAUGUAAGGCCUCUGGGACCGUGCGCGUGGCAACCUAUGACACCUUGAGGUGUGAUUUUACUGGUUUUGAGGUCAAGAGAAGCUUUUGAAAAGAAGCAAAUGAGAGGAUACUAGUGUCGAUGUGUGGCAAGAACUUGGACUGAGAAAUCACUGGAAGAACAUUGAUAAUUCAUGUAUAAUUAUGUUUAGAUCAUGCUUAUACCUUUUAUUGAUUGUUCAUUGUUGUCUAUG
Molecule: long non-coding RNA, 284 nt
Organism: Halichondria panicea
Lineage: Eukaryota; Metazoa; Porifera; Demospongiae; Suberitida; Halichondriidae
Exons: 2
Source: RefSeq, a predicted model, not a curated record